Molecule: transfer RNA, 73 nt
Filed under: Crella elegans
Lineage: Eukaryota; Metazoa; Porifera; Demospongiae; Poecilosclerida; Crellidae
Description: tRNA-Leu
Rfam family: tRNA
About the family: Transfer RNA (tRNA) molecules are approximately 80 nucleotides in length. Their secondary structure includes four short double-helical elements and three loops (D, anti-codon, and T loops).
Source: RNAcentral
AAGGAUAUGGUGAAAAGGUAAACACGUUUGAUUUAGGCUCAAAAUACUGUAGGUUCGAUCCCUAUUAUUCUUA